Molecule: long non-coding RNA, 361 nt
Filed under: Ceratitis capitata (Mediterranean fruit fly)
Lineage: Eukaryota; Metazoa; Arthropoda; Insecta; Diptera; Tephritidae
Description: uncharacterized LOC110117978, transcript variant X1
Source: RNAcentral
AUAGAAGUGAAAAAUAUAUGAUGAGGAUCAUGGUACUCAAUAUUGUACGGAAAAUUCUGUUAACGGCGCAGGUUGAGUAGAAUGGACGCUUCACAUCUUGCAGCAGCAGCACAUCUCAAAAAUAUUCAAGAAAACUUUGCAAGAUGUCUUUAUAUGUACUUCAAAGGAGAUGCGAUUAUGACGAAGGCGUUCGUGGAGCUGAAUCACCAAGACACGACACUAUUAAAGACUGCAUAUACGGUUUUGCUUACAAUAUUUUGCAGAUUUUUGAAAAUGAAUUUAUUGUUGCAUUAUUAUUUUUUUGAAUGCUAUAUAAACCAUGUAAAUGAUCUAUGUAAAAUAUUGGAAUAAAGACUGAACC